Long non-coding RNA from Gambusia affinis (western mosquitofish), 266 nucleotides. RefSeq lists it as uncharacterized. NCBI's taxonomy places the organism in Eukaryota, Metazoa, Chordata, Actinopteri, Cyprinodontiformes, Poeciliidae. The transcript has 2 exons. The record is from RefSeq and is a predicted model, not a curated record.
GGAAAUUCCACACAGACGGUUUUGCACUCUUAUGUGGUAAGUCAUCAGGUCUGGUUCUCCUCUGACUUGUUUUUGUGAUUUUGUUCGGGGACUAAAUUGGAGUGUUGUUGCAGUACACAGAGAACAGGUGGACUAGUAGGGGAGGCUGACGGGAUGUUUUUGUCGACCACUCAUUGCAGAGAACAGGUGGACUAGUAGGGGAGGCUGACGGGAUGUUUUUGUCGACCACUCAUUGCAGGUUGUAAAAUAAACCACUUACAAUCCAA